RNAcentral lists this ribosomal RNA (376 nucleotides) under uncultured bacterium. RNAcentral's name for it is "bacterial SSU rRNA". It matches the Rfam family "Bacterial small subunit ribosomal RNA", at positions 790 to 1167 of the family's 1533-position model. The record is from RNAcentral.
GUAGUCCACGCCCUAAACGAUGUCAACUGGUUGUUGGGGAAGGCAACUUCCUUAGUAACGAAGCUAACGCGUGAAGUUGACCGCCUGGGGAGUACGGCCGCAAGGUUAAAACUCAAAGGAAUUGACGGGGACCCGCACAAGCGGUGGAUGAUGUGGAUUAAUUCGAUGCAACGCGAAGAACCUUACCUACCCUUGACAUGCCAGGGAGCUUGCUGAGAGGCGAGUGUGCCCGAAAGGGAACCUGGACACAGGUGCUGCAUGGCUGUCGUCAGCUCGUGUCGUGAGAUGUUGGGUUAAGUCCCGCAACGAGCGCAACCCUUGCCACUAGUUGCCACCGAAAGGGGCACUUUAGUGGGACUGCCGGUGACAAACCGGA